This 459-nucleotide ribosomal RNA is filed under the name uncultured bacterium. RNAcentral's name for it is "partial 16S ribosomal RNA". It matches the Rfam family "Bacterial small subunit ribosomal RNA", at positions 338 to 795 of the family's 1533-position model. The record is from RNAcentral.
CCUACGGGAGGCAGCAGUGAGGAAUAUUGGUCAAUGGGCGGGAGCCUGAACCAGCCAAGCCGCGUGAGGGAAGAAGGUACAGCGUAUCGUAAACCUCUUUUGUCAGGGAACAAAGGCGGGGACUAGUCCCCGGAUGAGGGUACCUGAAGAAAAAGCAUCGGCUAACUCCGUGCCAGCAGCCGCGGUAAUACGGAGGAUGCGAGCGUGAUCCGUAUUUAUUGGGUUAAAGGGGUUCGCAGGCGGCCUGUUAAGUCAGCGGUAAAAGGAUGGGGCGAAACCCCGGCGAGCCGUUGAAACUGGCAGGCUUGAGUAGAAGAGAAGUACGCGGAAUGCGCGGUGUAGCGGUGAAAUGCUUAGAUAUCGCGCAGAACCCCGAUUGCGAAGGCAGCGUACCGGCUCCACACUGACGCUGAGGCACGAAAGCGUGGGUAUCGAACAGGAUUAGAUACCCUAGUAGUC